This 477-nucleotide ribosomal RNA is filed under the name uncultured Planctomycetota bacterium. Its description in RNAcentral is "bacterial SSU rRNA". It matches the Rfam family "Bacterial small subunit ribosomal RNA", at positions 365 to 832 of the family's 1533-position model. The record is from RNAcentral. Lineage: Bacteria; Pseudomonadati; Planctomycetota.
UUCGCAAUGCCCGAAAGGGUGACGAAGCGACGCCGCGUGUGGGAAGAAGGCCUUCGGGUUGUAAACCACUGUCGGGAGUUAAGAAAUGUAAGGGUGUUAAUAGCAUUCUUACUUGACGUUAGCUCCGGAGGAAGCCACGGCUAACUCUGUGCCAGCAGCCGCGGUAAUACAGAGGUGGCAAGCGUUGUUCGGAAUUAUUGGGCGUAAAGAGCACGUAGGCGGCCCUGCAAGUCAGCUGUGAAAUCCUUCUGCUCAACGGAAGAACGGCAGUUGAUACUACAGGGCUCGAGUGCGGGAGGGGAGAGUGGAACUUCUGGUGGAGCGGUGAAAUGCGUAGAUAUCUGAAGGAACAUCGGCGGCGAAAGCGACUCUCUGGCCCGUAACUGACGCUGAGUGUGCGAAAGCUAGGGGAUCAAACGGGAUUAGAUACCCCGGUAGUCCUAGCCGUAAACGAUGGGCACUAAGUAGAGGGGUUUU